CCUACGGGAGGCAGCAGUGAGGAAUAUUGGUCAAUGGACGAGAGUCUGAACCAGCCAAGUAGCGUGAAGGAUGACUGCCCUAUGGGUUGUAAACUUCUUUUAUAAAGGAAUAAAACGAGGCACGUGUGCCUUUUUGCAUGUACUUUAUGAAUAAGGAUCGGCUAACUCCGUGCCAGCAGCCGCGGUAAUACGGAGGAUCCGAGCGUUAUCCGGAUUUAUUGGGUUUAAAGGGAGCGUAGAUGGGUUGUUAAGUCAGUUGUGAAAGUUUGCGGCUCAACCGUAAAAUUGCAAUUGAUACUGGAAGUCUUGAGUACAGUUGAGGUAGGCGGAAUUCGUGGUGUAGCGGUGAAAUGCUUAGAUAUCACGAAGAACUCCGAUUGCGAAGGCAGCUUACUAAACUGCCACUGACAUUGAUGCUCGAAGGUGUGGGUAUCAAACAGGAUUAGAUACCCCAGUAGUC
This 460-nucleotide ribosomal RNA is filed under the name uncultured bacterium. RNAcentral's name for it is "partial 16S ribosomal RNA". It matches the Rfam family "Bacterial small subunit ribosomal RNA", at positions 338 to 795 of the family's 1533-position model. The record is from RNAcentral.